RNAcentral lists this ribosomal RNA (492 nucleotides) under uncultured bacterium. RNAcentral describes it as "partial 16S ribosomal RNA". It matches the Rfam family "Bacterial small subunit ribosomal RNA", at positions 29 to 507 of the family's 1533-position model. The record is from RNAcentral.
AGUGAACGCUGGCGGUAGGCCUAACACAUGCCAGUCGAACGGCAGCACAGUAAGAGCUUGCUCUUACGGGUGGCGAGUGGCGGACGGGUGAGGAAUACAUCGGAAUCUACUUUUUCGUGGGGGAUAACGUAGGGAAACUUACGCUAAUACCGCAUACGACCUACGGGUGAAAGCAGGGGAUCUUCGGACCUUGCGCGAUUGAAUGAGCCGAUGUCGGAUUAGCUAGUUGGCGGGGUAAAGGCCCACCAAGGCGACGAUCCGUAGCUGGUCUGAGAGGAUGAUCAGCCACACUGGAACUGAGACACGGUCCAGACUCCUACGGGAGGCAGCAGUGGGGAAUAUUGGACAAUGGGCGCAAGCCUGAUCCAGCCAUACCGCGUGGGUGAAGAAGGCCUUCGGGUUGUAAAGCCCUUUUGUUGGGAAAGAAAAGCAGCAGGUUAAUACCCCGCUGUUCUGACGGUACCCAACGAAUAAGCACCGGCUAACUUCGUG